This 1671-nucleotide ribosomal RNA is filed under the name Triticum aestivum (bread wheat). RNAcentral describes it as "partial small subunit ribosomal RNA". The record is from RNAcentral. Lineage: Eukaryota; Viridiplantae; Streptophyta; Magnoliopsida; Poales; Poaceae.
AUGGCCGGAGCUCAUCAUAAGGUCGGCGAGCUGUUGCACCACACGCCGCGCAGCUCGACGGCCGCGGUCGACAAGGCAAUGUCCUCGCCCUCCAGUUCAUACGCGCAGCACCACGUCGUCAAGGAGCGCGUGGCGCGGUGGCGGCGCGCGCUCGCCGGGCGGUUCUGGCCGCGUGUCGGCUCGCUGCUCGUCCAGGUCGCCUACUUCCUAGCCGUCUCCUGGCUCGGGUACCUCCUCCUCGCGCAGCUCAGGUUCCGCGGCGACGGGACGAGGCGGCCCCGCGGCAUCGACCUGUUCUUCACCGCCGUCUCGGCCGCGACGGUGUCCAGCAUGUCCACCGUUGAGAUGGAGGUUUUCUCCAACGGGCAGCUCCUCGUCUUGACAGUACUCAUGCUCGUCGGCGGUGAGGUGUUUUUAUCUCUCAUAUGCCUCGCGUCCAAGUGGUUCAAGCUGAGGAAGCAAGCUGUACACAAGUCGUCCAGGCGCGUCGAGAUCCACCACGUCGCCGAGCUUGAGAUGCCGCCGGCCGCCGCCGCUGGCAUCGAUAACCCAACGUCGACUACCGCCGAUGAUGAGACGAGCAAGUCGUUGGAGCACGUACCUGACACGAGGCUUCGGCGCGACGCAGUGCUGUCGCUGUUCUUCGUCGUCCUCGCCAUCCUCCUAGCGGUGCACGCCCUCGGCGCCAUCGCCAUCGCGGCGUACAUCCUGCACGCGUCGCCGGCGGCGAGGCGGACGCUGCGGAGCAAGGCUCUGAACGUCUGGACCUUCUCCGUGUUCACGACGGUGUCCACGUUCUCGAGCUGCGGGUACAUGCCGACGAACGAGAACAUGAUCGUCUUCAAGCGGGACACCGGGCUGCAGCUGCUGCUCGUGCCGCAGGCGCUGGUCGGGAACACGCUGUUCCCGCCGCUGCUGGCCGCGUGCGUGCGCGCCGCCGCCGCGGCGACCAGGUGCGUGGAGCUCAGGGAGACGGUGAAACAGGGCGGGGAGCUGACGGGGUACUACCACCUGCUCCCGGCGCGGCGGUGCGCGAUGCUGGCGGCGACGGUGGUGGGCUUCCUCACCGUGCAGGUGGCGAUGCUGUGCGGCAUGGAGUGGAGCGGCGCGCUGCGGGGGAUGAGCCCGUGGGAGAAGGUGUCCAACGCGGUGUUCCUGGCGGUGAACUCCCGGCACACCGGCGAGUCGACCCUGGACAUCUCCACCGUCGCGCCGGCCAUCCUCGUCCUCUUCGUGCUCAUGAUGUAUCUGCCUCCAUACACCACAUGGUUUCCAUUUGAGGGGAACUCCAGUACAAAGGAUCACCCCAAGCACGAGGAGGCACGGGGGAUCAAGUUGAUCAAGAGCACAAUCUUAUCACAGCUCUCCUACCUCACCAUCUUCGUCAUUGCCAUCUGCGUCACGGAGAGGGAGAAGCUCAAGGAAGACCCCCUCAACUUCAACCUGCUCAGCAUCGUCGUCGAAGUUGUCAGCGCUUAUGGAAAUGUGGGAUUCUCCAUGGGCUACAGUUGCAGUAGGCAGAUCAGCCCGGACCAGCUCUGCACCGACAGGUGGACCGGCUUCGUCGGGAGGUGGAGCGAUUCCGGCAAGCUCAUCCUCAUUCUCGUGAUGCUCUUCGGGAGGCUCAAGAAGUUCAGCAUGAAAGGAGGCAAAGCCUGGAAGCUUAGUUAG